UACGUAUGGUGCGAGCGUUAAUCGGAAUUACUGGGCGUAAAGCGUGCGCAGGCGGUUAUAUAAGACAGAUGUGAAAUCCCCGGGCUCAACCUGGGCACUGCAUUUGUGACUGUAUAGCUAGAGUACGGUAGAGGGGGAUGGAAUUCCGCGUGUAGCAGUGACAUGCGUAGAUAUGCGGAGGAACACCGAUGGCGAAGGCAAUCCCCUGGACCUGUACUGACGCUCAUGCACGCAAGCGUGGGGAGCCAACAGGAGGCGAUAACAGCGUAGUCC
This 273-nucleotide ribosomal RNA is filed under the name uncultured bacterium. Its description in RNAcentral is "partial 16S ribosomal RNA". It matches the Rfam family "Bacterial small subunit ribosomal RNA", at positions 524 to 796 of the family's 1533-position model. The record is from RNAcentral.